This 483-nucleotide ribosomal RNA is filed under the name uncultured bacterium. RNAcentral's name for it is "partial 16S ribosomal RNA". It matches the Rfam family "Bacterial small subunit ribosomal RNA", at positions 30 to 507 of the family's 1533-position model. The record is from RNAcentral.
UUGAACGCUGGCGGCAGGCCUAACACCUGCAAGUCGAGCGGAUGAAGGGAGCUUGCUCCUGGAUUCAGCGGCGGACGGGUGAGUAAUGCCUAGGAAUCUGCCUGGUAGUGGGGGAUAACGUCCGGAAACGGGCGCUAAUACCGCAUACGUCCUGAGGGAGAAAGUGGGGGAUCUUCGGACCUCACGCUAUCAGAUGAGCCUAGGUCGGAUUAGCUAGUUGGUGGGGUAAAGGCCUACCAAGGCGACGAUCCGUAACUGGUCUGAGAGGAUGAUCAGUCACACUGGGACUGAGACACGGUCCAGACUCCUACGGGAGGCAGCAGUGGGGAAUAUUGGACAAUGGGCGAAAGCCUGAUCCAGCCAUGCCGCGUGUGUGAAGAAGGUCUUCGGAUUGUAAAGCACUUUAAGUUGGGAGGAAGGGCAGUAAGUUAAUACCUUGCUGUUUUGACGUUACCAACAGAAUAAGCACCGGCUAACUUCGUG